Populus euphratica (Euphrates poplar) is the source of this 1655-nucleotide RNA transcript. It is a transcript of the gene named autophagy-like protein, with no coding region annotated. Lineage: Eukaryota; Viridiplantae; Streptophyta; Magnoliopsida; Malpighiales; Salicaceae. The transcript has 12 exons. The record is from RefSeq and is a predicted model, not a curated record.
AUUUUCCCUGCUAGCCAGGAUCGACCGCGACUCAGGAAACGAGGAAGGAUCCUUGUGCACUUCUAUCGCUCUCUUUUCUGGCAAUUUCUCCCCGCUCUUACCUGCCGUACCUCAACAGCAUUAAAAAGCAAAGCAGGAAAAGAAGAGAGAUAUGAAAAUAACCAUAAGUUUCUUCAUAUCUCUGAGAUACUACUUUCUAAUCAUUGCCCUUCUACACCGAGUCGGGUCCCUCGACCCAAUUUCUGCAGUCUGCGAGCUUAGUUUCGUUGUUAGAGACAAGGUUUAUAGAUUCAACUUAGUUUCUCCGCUCCCGAAUUUUCCUCACGGUGUCCUCAGCGAAGAUGGGUUUUAUAAGGUAGCAGUGAACGAGACUGUGCUCUGGUUUCAGCUCUGUGAUGGAAUGAUUUUUAAUCAUGAUGCCCCUAGAUGUGUUGACUGCCUGGACUGCGGGGGGGCAUCGCGUUGUGGCUUGGAAUGCAGUGCUCUCAUGGCAAGGAAUAUUGAAGGUUAUGAUGUAUGCACCACUAUUGGAAAAGUCACUAGCACUAGCACUAACAUUAUUGAUAAUCAAAAUCCCCACAAGGGUGUGAUUGUCAAGAUGACAAGCAGCGGAUCAAAGCAUAAUUGUUCACUCUCUGUCUCUGUCAUCUGUGAUUCAAAUAGAGUUAAUGGGCCACACUCACUGGAGAAACUAGGGACUUGUGAUUAUGCCGCAGUGCUACAGCACCCUUCUGGUUGUGCCACGAUCAAUGGUCAUGGAAAAGGAUGGGGCUGGUUUGGUACCUUGAUGAUCACUGUCUUUUGUCUUUUUGGAGGUUAUUUAUUGGCGGGUGCAGUUUAUCGACAUUUCUACCUUGGAGUUCAUGGGUUAGAUAUGAUUCCAAACUUGGAUUUCUGGACCAGGCUACCUCACAGAACACAGGGCUUUUUUGCAUCUUUGGUACGGAGAUUUAGAGGACCUACUGAAGGUUAUCGAAACUCCUAUUCUCCUGUCAACUUUUGAAGAUCUGGGACUUGAUUUACGAUUUUGUAGUGAUGAGGCUCGAAUUUGCGUAUGAACCUCGCGCAAGUAAAUCCGACCACACUGAUGGUUCCAUCUUAGAAAAGCUACUGGUGGUCAAGUCUGAAAUGUAUGCUUGAAGUAGGGUUUGAAAACCCUUUUGCACAACCAUCCUGUUCACGAUUACACCACAAUAUCCAGGAGCAGAUGGAACCUGUGAGGUGAGCAGAUGGAACCUGCAAGCUUGGUUAGUUUUGCCUAAAGAUAGUGGGAUGUCUAAAACAAUCUACAGCAAAUUAUCAAAGUGUUUUGACGAGGCAAAAAGAGGUUGAUAUAAUCAGAGAAUUAAUUUAUUUACUUUGGAAACUGGCCUAUUUUAUAGCUAUUAGAAGCACUUUAUUUAAUGUUUUAUUAAGCGAUGGAAUAUAAAGUUUCAUUACAUCUAUAUUUGGCCUAGUAAAGGGUAAAAAGAGGCAGAAAGGAAAUGCAUAAAGGAUUGGAAAUCACAGAUAGCUGAUGGUUGUGCAUGAGAAAAUCUAGUGAUGCCAUGGAAUUGUUGAGAAAAAAAAAUCGAGAUGAUAAAGACAUGAGAAGCCUUCAGCUGUUUCUGACUCAUGUUAUAAUCUGAAUGUUCGCAUUUGAAGUGACGUUCUUG